This 754-nucleotide unclassified non-coding RNA is filed under the name Mappianthus iodoides. Its description in RNAcentral is "partial contains small subunit ribosomal RNA, internal transcribed spacer 1, 5.8S ribosomal RNA, internal transcribed spacer 2, and large subunit ribosomal RNA". The record is from RNAcentral. Lineage: Eukaryota; Viridiplantae; Streptophyta; Magnoliopsida; Icacinales; Icacinaceae.
AUUAGAGGAAGGAGAAGUCGUAACAAGGUUUCCGUAGGUGAACCUGCGGAAGGAUCAUUGUCGAAACCUACGAAGGUAGACCCGCGAACUCGUUGCUACUAUCGGGCAAGGGCGAGAGAAGCAGGCGCCCGGUCGCCUUCUCCUCGGCCUUUGCCUUUUCGAGAAGGGAGGGAGGAUUUGAGCCCGCCUCUGUCCCUUCCUUCGCGAACAACAGAAACCCACUCCCGGCGCAGCAAGCGCCAAGGAACCCAAAAAUGCAAGAGCCAGCCACUCGGGCGCCCUGCGUCGYGGCGGUGCUCGGUGGUGUGUCCUUGAAAAACAGAAAACGACUCCCGGCAACGGAUAUCUCGGCUCUCGCAUCGAUGAAGAACGUAGCGAAAUGCGAUACUUGGUGUGAAUUGCAGAAUCCCGUGAACCAUCGAGUCUUUGAACGCAAGUUGCGCCCAAAGCCUUCGGGCGGAGGGCACGCCUGCCUGGGCGUCACGCGUUGUCGUCCCUCCUAAACAGCCGAUGCCUCUCUGGAUCCGGGGUCCCGAAGGCACGCUGUGGGAGGGAGAGAUUGGCCUCCCGCGCACUCGGCCUGCGCGGUUGACCGAAAAGUAGGUCCCCCGGGGCGGGCGUCGCGGCAAGUGUUGGUCGGUCGAACCCUUCGCAUUCCGUCGCGCGCGCAACCGCUCUUGGGUAGGAUCUGUUGACCCUGUGUGUAAGCAUCGCGACCCCAGGCCAGGCGGGACUACCCGCUGAGUUUAAGCAU